CGCGCUCCCGACGCACACGCCGCGCCUCGCUCCGCCUCUUCAGCCCUCACUACACCACCCACGGUGACCCAACAGCACCCUGCCUGCCUGGCUCAUGUGCAGUGUGCCACCUGCUUUCCCCCGUGACGCGUCGCGCUCGCAUAACCAUAUGUGAGAGGCAACAGCGAACGAAAUUGUUUAUUGGUGUGAUUUUGCCAGUGCGAAAAAAGAUGAAGUGUCAGGGAGGUUUGAUAAGCUGGAGUAUUAUAUGAGGAGAGGAAGUGUGUUAUUAGUGUUUAUUUUGGCGACUAUAUCAACAGUUACGCUGGCAACAGCUGUCACAAUCUCCCCCUGUCUAUCGUUCAGUGUAAAUUGAACGAGGGGGAAGCAAAGUGUUGAAAAAACAGAGUGCACCAGACCCGGUUUAGUGGACAGUUCUGUUCACGUCAGGGUUGAGCUCAGCGAUUUUCUGUUGCACAGUGUAGAAGCAACACCUCUACCACCCCAGCCUCCGCCCACACCUCGUCUGCUUCUACCCUCGAGUCUGUCGGAGUUGACUGAUCGUUACCUGGAAAAAUAAGGAGGAAAAACAGUUGGGACUGAGAAGCUUACGGUGGUGGUCCCUUUAAUACCGGGUCACGAUAUAGAGAACAUAUUCGGUGACAGGAACUAACUCGCCUGACGACAACACCAUAAAACUGCCGUAAUAGAAACAAGUGAAUGUGGGCGGCUGUGAUCAAGGGAGCUGCUGUAGCUCUCAACCUAAACUUUUAGGUCCCUGCGCUGUCCUUGGCUCCCCCGCUUUGGUAAAUAAUUAAUAACAAGUGAACAAGUGUGUGUUUGGCGGGGGGAGGAGCCUCGGGUCUAUGUAUCCGGUUCUUCCAUCUCUAAUUUACUACACGCUGGCGUUAUUUAUGGCCUCGUGACAAACUGCACCAAGAUAAUUGCUCGUGUGUCGUCGUAAUUAUGAUGAAUGCAGACGUUGCAGUGAUAUAAGAAAGCAAUUUGAUAACAUCUGUUUGUCUGCAAGUCAACACAUUGAUCUUCCUCGACACAAAGCUGAUGGUAUAUUUUUAUAACGAGAGCAACAGUCGUACCCAUGUUGCGUAUCCUUUAAUGGAGGUUCUUCCAGGAAACUGUUGCUCCACAUCGAGGUACAUAUGUGCUGCUUUACUAGCUGCCGCGACUCUCAUUUAGUGUGAGCAACAGUUUGGCAGCUGAACACUCAACCUAGAAAGUUGUUCUUAUUGUUACGUCCUCACCACCCUGUUCAACCUCGAGUGAGUGUCAUUAGGAGUGUAAGUGAGGUGCGCCCUUGGGCUGUCUUAGAACAAAAAGGCCAGUAAGUCAUCAUUUAUAGCGUGUUUAUUGAGGGUCGUUCUCCUGGUCAUAAUAUCGUUACAGUGCCGCGAGGGGACAGCCUACGGCGGUGGUCGCCAGGGAGGUAAUCCCCUCUAGUGGUGACUCACUGCCUACCUCCUCCACCUGCCAUGAGGCUGUGCUCUAGUGAUAUUACUUUUCUCAGGAUUCGUGAAUAAUUAGUCGUAGAUAAUGAACAGCUGUGAAAUGUUGACAGAAACAGAGGCUCUGUGGACUAGGACUAUAAACAGUGUAAUGAUCACAGUUCACAAUGCUGAUGAACUGAACCAAAGGAGACAGUUUACUUAAUACCAGAUUCUGUAAAAGAAGUGUCGCGGGGAAAAGAGUUUGGUGUAGGUAAGAGAAACAAGAGGAGAUCUUUAAAGGCCAACACCGCCGCCGCUACCAUGGACUCGUGCUCCCGCGCCCCCUCCCCCCUGACACCUGCGGAGCACCUCAGUCUGGGUGACUUCCUCCCGUUCGAUCGUGACGCGAGGAUGGACGACACUGUCGAGUUCCUAGAGUGCUGUUCACUGGACUAUGCCAAACCUAACAAAAUCACAGUGGUGUCUGGCCAGCCCCUCGGUGUCUCAGAGUGCUCAGAGGAGUGUGAGUUAGACGGGAGUUAUACGGAGUACGUCGAGACGCAAUGGGUCAAAGGUAGCGGCAGCGAGGGGGACCAGGAGAGUCCGUGUAAACACGACAGUGUGGAGGAUGUUGGUCACGAUAUAGGCAGUGACACAGAGAGUGUGGUGGUGAGUGCCCCCCUCCACGGCCCCACCACCGUCAGGUGUGUGUGCGUGUGUAAAAAACGUGGCUGCAAGUUUGUCGACAAGCCCUUUGAUGCUCACAGCGUCCGAGAGUCGCCCACUACCAAGAUGUCAAUGAGGUAUAGGAUGGUGACCUGGCUGACGGCGCUUAAACCACAAAGAGGAGCCGACAGCCCAGUAGCGGACCAAGUGGAUGUCGGCUCAAAGGUCCAUCCAGAAAAGAAGUCCAAAAUCAUCCAGAUGUUCAGGUCCAGGAGAUUUCGGAGCAGUGCGAAAACAAGUGAACCCGAAAUCCCAGGUUCAGUGGAGACAGUGAGGAAACGUUUCUCGGAUUUGAGUGGGAUGAAGAAGCCCGCGCUGCCUGGAGAGAUGCGACGGUUCAAGAGGUGUACACAGGUGUCCGUACCAAGGUCUAUUGCUGUGCUGUUUGGCUUCACGCUCAUCUUACUCGGGGUGACUUACGACCAUGGGGUCAAACACGGAGUGGACAACCUUUUGCAGAGUUGUUGGUCGUGGCUCAGGACUAGCUACAUGAAUUUCGGUGACGAGUUCGUGUCUUAUAACAGUUUGUUCUUCCGAAUGAGCAACAACGAGGCCUUAUAUGGUGAGCCGUACCCAAAGUUCGGGCAAAACAGCACCAAGAAAGGCACCCCCAAUAUUACACGGUUCAAGGACGCCAUCAACAAUGUCGACCCUAAAUUUCUGUUUGUGUUGGAAGGGUUGAAACUCUCCGUCCAGGUACACUUCUUCAGUAUCGACGAAACCUCCGACAUAUCGAGUGCCCAGGUGAUGGUGCAAGACCAAGGUCCUCUCUUCUUCAGAAUAUCCUUCAGGAGAGCUGCUGGCCUCCACGUGGAGUAUAUACCCGACAGAUCCAACAUGUCGCUCUCCACGCCGUUCCAAAUUUACGACUUAAUGAAAAUGAUAAUGUUAAGUAAUGAGUUUCCUUAUUUUGGGAUGCAUAUGCACGAUUAUAUGGCAACUACUCCGUCUGCUCUCUUCACUAUGAUAAUCGAUAAUCUCAAUAAAUUCAACGUGGACACAACCUUCCUCGCCAGUAUACAGAAACAGAUACAGAAAGGAAGGAUCAAAAGAGAGACAGAAGAACAGGAGAAUCCAAAGGUUCUGGAUCAGGUCGAGUCCACUCCAGAAACAUCAAAACAAACGACGACAGAGGCGGCCACACCAGGUACGAUCUCUCCUGUUAUACUGACCUCGGAGAGAACGACAACGGAAAGGUUAACUGAACGUCAUAUAAACGUCAGUAACAGAACGCCAGCCAUCACUAUAUUCGAGAGAAUAAGAAGAUCUACAGAGGAGCCAACAAGGAGAAAAUCCGCGUGGAAAUCCCUGGCCGAGAUAUCCAGCAAAAUAUUUUUACCUCUUCCCUUAGACACAAGAAAAACGGUGCUGCUGCCGGUGCCAUUUAUAGAGAAGAACCUGACGCUGAGGUACCGGCACUCCAUCAAUGUGCUGGGUCUUCCCGGCUACCAGUUUGUGCUGGGGAACGAUAUCACCAAGGGAGGCACUUGGGACAACCCCCACCCAGACCUGUACCCCUCCCUUAGCUAUUCCAGGGUGAAGGAUGGCGAGAAGGCUGACGACCCCUCCAACCCGCACCUUCAGCGACAUAGAUACAAUGAUAAAAAAAAACAUCACCGACAUCCUAAGCAUCAAAAUUCUUUAGAAGGUGAUAGUUAUAAAAAAAGUUUCAAUGAAGUGCUCGGAGUUGUUGACUUAGAGCCUUUGCUUGUAGAGACCAUAGGGCGGUUGUCUAUAAUGGGACGUCCCCUAGAACACUAUCCAUUCUGGCUAUCCCCUCCACAUUUUUUAUCAUUAACAGAUAGUAUAGAAAACUUAAAUAAGUCGAAGUUUACUCAAGACUCCUUGAACAUUUCUGGGUCAAAAUUGUCUUUAUUUCACUCGAAUCCAAAUAAUAAAAAUAUCCUCGUGGGUGUGGAUGGCGUGUCGGCUAACGAGUCCAUCCACGGGUCCUUCAUCUACUACCACCCGAUCCUCGGGGUGCCCAUUAACGCCUCCCUCGCCGUCCAGGUGGGCAUCCGACCCCCGGAGGGGAUGCUGCACGCCCACAAGCUCGUGCCCAUCAUGUGGACGCGCGUGCAAGUGGAGGAGAUCCCGUUAACGCUGUGGUACAUCCUGUGGGCGGCCUGCCACCUGCGGGAGACAAUCAUGGCCUCCUUCAUCUGCACCGGGGUCCUCGUCAUCACCUGCGCCCUCACCUGUAAGAGGAAGAGGAGGCCGGUGGAACGUCCAGGUAGUGCCUAAGUUAAUUGUGAAGUUGGCGUCGAGGUGUAUCAUCCAGAAGACGGGUUUCCAGACUUAACGAAGUACAGGAAGUGGAAACCGUUCUUUUGUUUAUGCUGGUGCAGACAGCAGCCCACCACAGACUUUCUCAAGCUAUCGUGGGAGAGAAAAACCUCUGUGAGAAUGCUCAAUGUCUUCCUUGUAUAGAUAUAUCUUCCACAUAAAUAAAAGUUGUAAGAUAAAAACAGAAAGGUGAGACCCAACCGGUUGACUCACCAUCAUCAAUGGCGGCAAAGGUGCGCCCCGGGAAGAGUGAUCUAGACAAGCCCACUCUUACCGACCUCUAAAUUUGCGGGAGUUGGCUCGUACACGACACUGGAAGAAGGCCAGCCACUCACCGGAACACGACGCACCCGCAAACACUGGCCCCCACACGCCUAAUACCAUCUGCGCUCCUCAAACGACGUCCACACAACCUUGGCCCAAAGUUGUGAGCCAAUUGAUGAACGUCUCAAGAUCACUGGCAACCACCUGGACUAACUGACGAACACCGGAUCUACAUGGGCCAGCUGGUGGAGGUUUUAACCCGCAUUAGCAACCAUCUGGACCACAGUUGGUAGAGGUGGACUAUGCCUUACUGCUGGAAUACCUCAGCCAGUGGUAGACAUGGAAACCACUUGUCACUGCCACCUGGGGCCUCCUGAUAGGUCGUCCAGAACCAAUGUUGUGGAUCCUCUACCGACACACUGCGGCCCAGAUCAACCACCGAGCCCCCACGACCACCGGACACCCGCCGACGUCUGUGGGAACAAACCAUAAAUUUGGAUAAGACAGUCGCGAUCCCCAUAGAGAAACACCCAUUAGAUUUUCUACGGUACAUUUGCAUCCCCGUAGCCCUAGGUAUUCUGGCUUUGGUGAUUUUCUGCAUCUGCGUGGGCAAGAAAGACU
Molecule: RNA transcript, 5321 nt
Organism: Homarus americanus (American lobster)
Lineage: Eukaryota; Metazoa; Arthropoda; Malacostraca; Decapoda; Nephropidae
Exons: 3
Source: RefSeq, a predicted model, not a curated record